RNAcentral lists this ribosomal RNA (253 nucleotides) under uncultured bacterium. RNAcentral's name for it is "partial 16S ribosomal RNA". It matches the Rfam family "Bacterial small subunit ribosomal RNA", at positions 524 to 776 of the family's 1533-position model. The record is from RNAcentral.
UACGUAGGGGGCAAGCGUUGUCCGGAUUUAUUGGGCGUAAAGAGCGUGUAGGCGGCCAUACAGGUCAGCUGUGAAAACUCGAGGCUCAACCUCGAGACGUCGGUUGAAACCGUAUGGCUAGAGUCCGGAAGAGGAGAGUGGAAUUCCCGGUGUAGCGGUGAAAUGCGCAGAUAUCGGGAAGAACACCCGUGGCGAAGGCGGCCCACUGGGCCGGUACUGACGCUGAGGCGCGAAGGCGUGGGGAGCGAACGGG